RNAcentral lists this ribosomal RNA (419 nucleotides) under uncultured Prevotella sp. RNAcentral's name for it is "bacterial SSU rRNA". It matches the Rfam family "Bacterial small subunit ribosomal RNA", at positions 358 to 774 of the family's 1533-position model. The record is from RNAcentral. Lineage: Bacteria; Pseudomonadati; Bacteroidota; Bacteroidia; Bacteroidales; Prevotellaceae.
GGAAUAUUGGUCAAUGGACGAGAGUCUGAACCAGCCAAGUAGCGUGCAGGAUGACGGCCCUAUGGGUUGUAAACUGCUUUUAUCAGGGAAUAAAGUGCGGCACGCGUGCCGUUUUGUAUGUACCUGACGAAUAAGGACCGGCUAAUUCCGUGCCAGCAGCCGCGGUAAUACGGAAGGUCCGGGCGUUAUCCGGAUUUAUUGGGUUUAAAGGGAGCGCAGGCUGAUUAUUAAGCGUGACGUGAAAUGUAGCCGCUCAACGGCUGAACUGCGUCGCGAACUGGUAGUCUUGAGUGAGUUCGAUGUUGGCGGAAUUCGUGGUGUAGCGGUGAAAUGCUUAGAUAUCACGAAGAACUCCGAUUGCGAAGGCAGCCAACAAGGCCUUUACUGACGCUAAAGCUCGAAGGUGCGGGUAUCGAACA